UACGUAGGGUCCGAGCGUUGUCCGGAAUUACUGGGCGUAAAGAGCUCGUAGGUGGUUUGUCGCGUUGUCCGUGAAAACUCACAGCUUAACUGUGGGCGUGCGGGCGAUACGGGCAGACUGGAGUACUGCAGGGGAGACUGGAAUUCCUGGUGUAGCGGUGGAAUGCGCAGAUAUCAGGAGGAACACCGGUGGCGAAGGCGGUUCUCUGGGCAUGAUCUGACGCUGAGGAGCGAAAGUGUGGGGAGCGAACAGG
Molecule: ribosomal RNA, 253 nt
Filed under: uncultured bacterium
Lineage: Bacteria
Description: partial 16S ribosomal RNA
Rfam family: Bacterial small subunit ribosomal RNA
Source: RNAcentral